UGAAAAUAAGAUUCACAGUUACUAGAGAGAUUGAAUCCCUUGCAGGAUCCAAGAAAUAUAAAGGCAAGGUUCUUGUUGUAGUAAAAUCUAGCAAGAAAAGAAAGAUUUUGUUGGACGAUUCCUCGCUUCUGAGACAAGUUCGAAUUCAUCAUCCAAGAGCGCACCUCUUUGUGUCAUGCUACAGCCUUAAACAAAGCAUCCUAAUGUUCUUGUUCUGCUGCAAAAAAGAACAAAAGGAUGAAACAAGUUGGGGUGCCAAAAUUUUUUUCUGAUGCAACUACAUCAACAAGAAAGCAGGAAGAAAGAAUCCUGGACUAGAAAAAGAAACUUUUCCUGGAUCCGGACUGCUCCAAUUCCAUAUCUUGUCCUUUCAUAACAAUUCCAAUGGAAUAGAUAUAGAAGGCACUACCUCUAUGGCCAUACACCCCCAUGUACGACACUGUACUACCGAUCUUCUCUAGAUUUAUGAUAGCCUUGAAGCUGUUGAUGUAUCUCACUGGUAGGGGUCCAGAAAAAUAAUUACUUGAGAGGUCAAAAUUUUGGAUUUUAGAGAAAAAAAGGGAUAGACUUGGAGCUAUGGUCAUGCAAGGAACCAUGCAUUUGAUUUAACUUUAGUACAAGAACUUAUAGCUGUGGAAGUGAUACAUGAUGGGAUGAAAUUUAUUAAAUUUCAAUCACCAACGCUGUCAAUUUUCAAGCUUGAGAAAUCAGCAGACUUGCGACGACUUGUUGUGUGGUAUCCUGGAAUUUUUGGGUUGAGAUUUCAAUGAAGUUGGAAGAUCUGUCUCUUAGCUUCGAAACGUAUUUUGAAUCACUCAAUUUUGAGUUCGGGAGCUCAAGUUAUGACCAUUUUAGUGAAGGCUGCGCAAGCAGAAUUUUUGAACGGGAUUAUGACGGGAAUUACAAAUUUCGGGCUUUUAAUUCGAGUUUAAAUCAUAUUUGGUUCGGUUGUAGGUUUAAUUUUUAUUAUAUAUGAGACCAAUAUUGUAUUAAUCAGCUCUUAUUAUUCUAUUAUUAGUUUGUUCUAAAUUUUUUUAUAAUUAUUAAGUAUUUUAAGUUAUUUAGGAGUUUUAUGUUAACAAGAAAGUUUAAUUUAAAACUAUUUUUUGUUUAGAUUAAAUUAGAGUUCUAGUAUACUUAAAAAUUUUAUUUAGAUUUAUUUAGCUAGACUAUAUAUAGGCCUUUUCAUUGUACACAAUUCAUUAUUAUUCUAUUUCUCUUAGAGUUAAUAAAUUCUCUCUAGAUUUUUCUUUUCAAGAAUUUCUCUUAAGUUUCUUUUAGAAGAGUUUUAACAAUCUUUUUAGAUUGUGGAGAUCAUCUUCAAACUUUUUUUUACCAAGAUUUCUAUCCUGGAGGGGAAAUUAGAGUUGUUUGAAAUGGGUUAUAGAUUCUUUGUGUUUGCAAGGCUUCUUAAGACUACAUGUCACGUUCUAUCUUUUUAUUUAUCUUGGAAGAGAAAUUAGAACUGCUUGAAGGGGGUUUUGGAUUCUUCGUGUUUCUAAAGCUUCUUAGGACUUCUAUACGUCACAUUCUAUCUUUCUAUUUAUUUUCUUUAUUCAUUUCCUUAUUGUUCUAAUAUUUGAUUUAUUUUUUUAUUCUAGUUAUUUAUUUUAAUUGUUUUAUCUGAUUUCGAUUUGAUUUCGUUUUAGGUUGUGUCAAAAUCUAAAUUUCUUUCCAAACGUGUAGAGCCCUAAGUCAAAUCCACGACUUUGACAAACUUUACGAUCCUCUUCUGUGUUCAUCCGUCUCAUUUUUUAUCAGGAAGACUUCCCAGCCAAUGAGGAAAUGUACCAUUGAUCUUGUUGUUACCAAGAUCUAGCUUAGCACUUUCAGUCCUUUACAAUUAAGGAUGGUGUCAAAGGCCCUUCUAACAGAUUUCCAUUUAAGUUGAAAUUACUCAAUUGGAAUCCCUUUGCAAAUGUUAGAGGAAUCGUCCCAUAAAACUUGUUCUUCUUCAGAUUCAUGAAUUCAAGGAUGUUGCUCAAAUCUCCAAAACAUUGCGAAAUUGUUCCACUCAAAUUAUUGUGGGACAAAUCAAGAAUUCGAAGAGAACUGGCAUUGCAUAUUAAAGAAGAGACCUCUCCAUUGAAACUAUUAUUUCAGAUCAGAAAGACUCCGAUCGUCGAAGCUGGAAUCAAAAGAUUUCCACUGAUCAAAUUGGAGCUUAAGUCAAGAAAUGCAAUAUUCUUCCAUUGAGUAGAUUGUCAAUUAAGAUUAAAGAUAUUAGAUUAGGAAAAGCAGCUACUUCAUCUGGAAUUGAACUUUCUAAUGAAUUUCUAGCUAUUUCCAAGUAUUCAAGUUGCGUUAGGUUUAAAAUUGACAAUGAAAUUUGUCCACUCAAUUCGUUCGAUGACAAGUCUAAAAAAUUCAAGGACACAAGAUUCCCCAUCGAGUCAGGCAAUAUCCUCCGCAAAUAUUUGCUUCUGAAAUAAUCAAGAACUCUAACGAUGAUAAAUUUGUGAUUGAGACAGAGAAUCUUUGAAAGAGAAUUACCUGAUAGAUCUAAGUACUUUAAGGCCUGUAGAUUAUCAACUGAAUUAAUGAAUUCGGUGGAGAAGGACAUCCACGACAGACCCAAAUGUUCAAGAUUGCUGCUCCGAUUGAACUUCAAAAGAUCAAGAUUCAGGUUUUGGUUGCCUCCCAAGUUGAGGAAAUUUAGGUUUGGCAAAUCAAAAAUGUUUUUUUGGGAAUUUUCCUUGCAAAUCACAACCAGAAAGACUGAGAGACCUUAGAGAAGAGGAUAGAUUCGUGAAGACAUGAGGAUUAAUAGAAGACAUGUUGAUUUCAUCCAAAAACAGAUGUCUGACCUCGGUCAGGUUGUGAACAAGUCCCUCGACAGCAUGUUUGUCAAUUGUUUGUCCAUCAGCCUAAUAGGAGAGAUUAAGUGAAACCAAUUUUGAUAGGUGGGAGACUUGGGAUGGGAUUUGUCCUACAAAACUUGUAUGAGAAAGGUUGAGAUAUACUAGGCUUGUAAAAAAAUUUAAAAUUUAAUCGGUUAGCAUUAAAUAUGUCAUUUUCUAUUAACUGCAAGAAAACUAUCCGGUAAACUGCAUCUUCCUCUUUAGAUGAAAUUUUGUAAAAAAAAAAAAAAUUGACAUUAUCACUUAUAUGGUCCUUCAAUUUUUUUUUUAAAAAGUCAUUUUAACUCUCUAUUUAAUUUUUCGCGUCUUUGAGCUUUUAAAUUUGCGUUAUUUAUCAAAUCAUCCCAAAAUGGAUGAAAAAGUUAACAUUUGUUAAUUCUAUUGACGAGACAUACAUAUCGAUAUCAAAUAAACAAUUAAUUGAUUUUUAAAUUUUAAAAAUUUUAAAAAUAAAACAUAUAUUAAAGUUUUCUAAGAAAUGAGGAAAUUGGAACCAUGUACAGAAGAAUGUCCAAUAAUAUAAACACAACAUUUUAGUUAUUUUCUACUGUCCAAUAAUGCCAUGUGUAUUAGUACAAACAUUCAUUAAACCUAAUUUAAUUUUAGCCAUUAAUUUAAUUUUUCAUCUUUAUUAGCCCUUAAACCUACAUUAUUUAUCAAAUAACCCUUAAACUUAUAUUGUUUAUCAGAUGAAAAAAUUAAUAUCUAUUAACUUUGCUAACGUGCAUACAUAUGCAACUUCUUAUUUAAAUCUAAAAAAUCUAAAAAUAAUUAAAUAUGUAUAAAUCUAAAAAUAUCUUAAAAUUAAAACUAAUUUUUUUUAAACUAAUGCAAAUUUUUAGUAUUUAAAAAAUCUUAAAAUUUUCAAAUUAAAUUCCAUUAGUUUUCCACCGUUGAAGAACACCUUCAAUCACAUCAACAAUUUCAUGCUGUUUUGCCUAGAAAUUGUUUUGCAAAUUUAUUUUGUUUUAUUUAUUUCUAAACCCAUAUUUCUUUGCUAUAACUCCAAUUAUUAGAUUGUUUAGGGUUUUGAGUAACUUUCGGUUUUAAAAUUUUAGAUUUUUUAAAUUUAAAUACGAAGUGCUCUUCUUCUUCUCCAAACCCACAAUUUUUUUCUGCCAAAUUUCAACUCAAGGUUUUACUUUCAACUAUAAAUAAAACAUAUAUUAUAUUUAUAAUAAUCUAAGAAGUGAAAUAAUUAGAAUUGACUUGGUCUUGCUUCCUUUAUAUGUAUGAAUGUGGAAAUUGGCAUAAUGCCAACUUAUUUUCCACGCAGAAGAAGAAAAUGGUGCUCUAUUCACUCCCUUUCCUAGCAAACAAGGCCACAUAUGACUUAGAUAGAUAUAUAUAUAUAUAUAUAUGGUCCCUAAGUGUGUAUAUAUUAAUAUAUUUUCAAGUAAACAAACUUAUGCCUUAAAAGUUGAAUAAUAGCAUCUAAGAAACAAAUUUUCCACCAGACUGGAAAUUUUGUAUUGCUUGGAAUGAAUUGACUCUCAUUUUCUAUUACUUGCUAGAAAUAGGGGAAAUUUCACAUCAAUGCAUUCACUUCACUAGGUCUUGCUUCCUAUCACUGUCAACCAAACUUGAUCGACUAGCAGUAAGGAAAUUUCAGUCAUUUGCAGCAUAAGAAUUCCACACCCUCAAAAUAAUUUGCAAUUUCAAAAAUAGAUUAAUAAGUGUGGUUCAAAUACCAAGACUAUAAUAUCUAUUCACUUCACUUGGUCUUUAUUACUCACACAGAAUGUAUCAUCAUCAUCAUUAUAUUACUCUUUUAUUGUUAUUUUUAUUUUUUUCUUGUUACUUUUAUUUGUUAUUAUUAUUAUUUUUUUAUACUUUCAUGUUUUCUUUUUCAUAUAUUCCACCUUUUAUUUGUUUAUUUCAUUCUUUUACCUAAUUAAUAUUAGAUUUUAUUAGUUGGUGCCAUUACUUAUUUGUUGUUUUUGAUAUAUCAUCGCUUCGUUAAUAUGCACCAUCAUUUUAUUAUUGUUGCAAUUACGUCACGAGCCGUUUUAAAUGUAUUCAUGCUUUUCUAUUAUGCCCCGAAUAAAUUAAAUAUCUACCAUUUUAAAUAUUACAUUAACUUUUAUGCGAUACAUAAAAAAAGAAUUUUUUUUUACCAAGGCAAAUGUUUGUUAUUUCAAAUUUAGAAAAAUCAUGUUCUAACUUACGGAAUAUGGUUGCCUUCUAAAAUUGAGAUAAUUGAAUAUAUUUUAAAAUAAACAAAAAUUUGUUUUUUUUUUUUUUACAUUUGUUCUCAUUUUCGGGAUUUAAGGCAUGGUGUCCUAACUUACGGAACGUGAUCCUUUUUCCCGAUUAAUUUAAAAUAAAUCUAUUUUUGUGAAAACAAAAUUUAAGUAAUAUUGAAACGAAGGACCGUAUUUUAAAAUCUCUUCAAAUUCUCAAUUUUUGACACUAAGACAUUAAUUAAUUAAUCAAUUAGGUACUAAUUUUGGGCGUUACGAGGGUGCUAAUAUUUCCUCGUACGUAACCGACUCUCGAACUUAUUUCCUGGAUUUUUGUAGACCAAAAAUUGUUGUUUUAGUAAAUCAAAUCUUUUAUUAAAACGAUUAAAUUACAAGGUGAUCCGAUCACACUAAUAAAAAGGAUUGGUGACGACUCCCAUUUUCGUUUUCAAAAUAAAAGUCGACCCUUUUCAAAAAUAGUUUCGACAAUGUGUAACAAGUAUUUUUAUUAAUCCAUUUGGAACAAGAUUUUGUUUCCUAAUGUUAAGAUUUGCUGGAGCAAAUAAAUUGAUUAAUGCUUUGAACUUUCCCAAACACUUUUUAUCAUUUUGUAUAAUUAGUAUAUUUGAAUAUAUUAGAUACAUCGUCUAAAACAAUGUCAAUAGUAAUUUUUUUAUAUUUUGUGGACCACAAGGGUACCAUAUAAAUAAUUUUAAAAAAAAGAUGGAGUGAUACAUUUACGUAGUGCUUAUGAAUAUAAUGUUGGAUUAAAAUCCUUAAUUAUGAGUACAUAUGUAUAAUGUUUGAUAUUACAAUUAUCUUAAUAAUUUUGUUUCUGUUUUUGUUGAUUGAUGAUUAUAAAAAUCAUUAUUUUUCUGAAGGCAUGCUUUGUUGUCAAUGACAGUACCUGCACCCUAAAAUAAUCACCAGCUUUAACAACUGCAAGAGUUGUCCUGCCUGACAUUUACUAAAAAAUCACCAGGGAGCACAUUGUCAGGAGAUCCUUGCUGGAAAAAACUUGGUAGGAUGGUUUUUUUGUGCAAACUUAGGAUUUCAAUUCUCAUCAAGGAACUUGCAAGCCAAUUAUUGUAGAAAUGUUUGUCCAAAUGAUAAACAUUUGGAAUCCUAACCACAGGGACUUUUGCAAGCCUAUUAAUUAGCUCCAGGAACUUUAGAUUCUACCUGUUCAAAACAUUUUUUCAAAGAAGGAAGCAUAGGUGAAAGGCGUCUAUUCUGGUUCAUCUCAUUGAAUACAUCAAAUGGAGGAUCAAUACGCUGAAAAAGGGACAAUGGAAAGAACUUUAGCCUACAACUUGAAUUUUAUAACUACUCCUAUGCCAACCAGCAAACCAUAACAGCAUACAUAAAAAAGAGGAUGCUGACUUACAGUUCCUUUCAUUUCACCAAAACCAAUCAAAUCCCUUGCAAUGUUGUUUGGAUCACAACAGCUCAUCUUUCAAUCCUAGAUGGCUCCGCCAAUUUUUUGAAAGCAUACAUGAACUGUUCAAGAAAUAAAUGGAUAAAACAACUACAGGAUAGAAGGCUAAAAAAUUACAAAGAGCAAUGACCUUAUUGUUAAAAUUCCAACGUCCAUUCCUUGGAAAGAUAUCUUCACCAUUGCCCACUCAAGAGAACUCAAAUAGCAGCAAGAUCUCGUAUAAAAUGUAACUCUCAACAACACACACAAAUGUUUGUUCUAUCAAGGAACAAUACACAGACAUAUUCACCUACCCUUGGUGCUGGCAGAAUAUGCCCAUUCACUUUGGUGAAAUUAGAGUUGAUAAUAACCCCACAAGAUUUCUGCACCAUAAUUACUGCGAAGUAAACCUGCACAUAAAUUUUCAUUCUUCACUAGAUACAUAUUGGAAAUUGGCCAACCAUGCUGCUGUUACAUUUUGUGGUUGAAGUGCAUGCAGCUUGAUGACAUGCUGGAGCACAUAUGGUUGCUGUAACAGCAAGGUUUCUCUUUAGUUUCUUUGUUGAUUAAACUAGUUGAAAAUGAACAAGUUGAUGACAACUUGAUGCAUUAGGUGUUGAAUGACUAGUUUAGGUGGCUUGUUUAUGUGUACAAGCAAUGUUUUAAUAGUCCCAAUGCUGAUUAGUGGGGUUAGUUGACUAUUUGAUGAUGUAUUUGACUAUAAAUGUAUGUUUUUUCUAGUUGAAUGAAUGAGCUGAAUAGGCUAUCAGCCAUAAGCUCCCUUGCUGCACAUUUGUGAGCAAGUAAAAAUACUUCUUGCACCUUGCUUCAUUGUUAUGCUCUCUGUUCUCUUCUUUUGCUGCUGCCAAAUGUUCCAACAAUACAGAAUCUAUUUUUGUAAGUAAAAAUUAGUUGUAUUCAUUGUUCACAUAAUUGAUCUUUUGUUGUGGAAGUAUUGUAUUUCCGGUAAUCCAUUAAGUAUUCAGUGUUUGAUAUAAUAGAUUUGCAUUUUAUUAUUGUAUUUUGUGAAAGGAUCCUUUAUCUAUUUUUUGUAACCUAUUUUGUUUUUUGCAUUUCUGAUUAGUUUACAUGAUGGCAUACUCAAUGAUCUCUUAAGUUAGUUAUGUUAGGCUCUUUAACCAUUGUUGUAGCUCACCGUACGUACUCCAUGCCCCCUUAUCCAUAUCUAGCUACUGACUAGUACACAACUAUCAUUGUUCUCACAUCACAUGUGGAUUGGUGGAUUUCUGAUAAUGGGUGUUGUUGCGCAUGCAGCCAUUUUUAUGGUAAGAGACAAUGAUUCAACUACUCUAUACAAUGAUUUAUUAGAUCGUGAUGUAAUCAUAUCACAUCUCAAUUGGGCAUUUAUAUUUCUUGACUUUGUAUAUUCAUAAUGAUACCAUGAUAGCCUUUUCCCCUCUUUUUUUUUGUUUUUUUUUUUUAUCUCUAGUCUCAAUUUUGGGCGUGACACAAUGAAAUUAGAAACUAAAUCUAUUUUUGUAAGUAAAAAUUAGUUUUAUUCAUUCUUCACAUAAUUGAUCCGGUAAUCCAUUCAGUGUUUGGUACAAUAGAUUUGCAUUAUAUAUAGGUUUGCCAAUGAGAUGGCAAGCAGACUGCUAGCUAGAAAUUCUUGCAUCUUUGAAUCACCAAUUCAAUUAAUAAGCUUAACUAAAGGAAAUAAGGACUUUACAUCCACCAAUUUUAGCAACCUAUAUGUACCCUUUUACAGUCUGCAUUGUUCCAUGUUUCAAUUCAUUCCAUCAUUCCUUCAACUCUGCUAUAUAUUAUUACCAUCUCCAGACAACCAAUCCUUUUACUGCUAACUUGUAAAGAAAUUAAGAAAAUACAGCAGAGAUCAUUGACACAUUUUGUUCUCCUUUCUCCUUUACUGAGCAGUAGCAAAGAUUGUCGAGACUAAAUUGAAAGUCAUGAAAGAAGACAUAAACAACACCACCAUACAAAAUGUUACACUCAAACAAACCGUUACAGAUAGUACGAAAUGCAAUGAAAGAGGAAUUGGUACAAUAAUAAAGACAGACACAUACCAAUGCAACCCUUCACCAUAGGCAAAACGGUCUACAGAACAAUAAAUUAUGAAAAUACAACACUAAUUCUUCAACAUCCUUUGCAGUAAUUAGAUCCUUUUUCGUCUAUAGCUUCAAUUGCCUUUCUUUGACUUUCUUCUUCGCCUCCUCUCUUGUUGGUUUUCAACCAAACUCACCAACCAUUUCGGCUUACCAGUUUGGAAAACAACAUAUCCCACGGACAUUCCGAACACCACUCCGCAUCCAUAACCUAUCAACACCACUUUCCAACCAAAAGCAAUGUUUGAUGUUGAGCCAUCUUUUUCAAGCACAUUUGGAGGUGCUGGCUCAAUGAUGUUGCAACCUUUCGAGACCGGAAACCCACAUAGUCCCUUAUUCCCUUCAUAUGAAUCAAUUCCAAAUGUGUUGAAUUGUUUUCCUUGAGGAAUCUGACCAUGGAGUUGAUUUUCAGAAACAUUGAAGGACGAAAGAAAUGGCAGAUCUGCCAAUCUAUUUGGAAUCGUCCCAGACAACCUGUUUGAAGAUAGGUCCAACCAUUCAAGACUUGUCAAAUUCCCUAUUGAGGUGGGGAUACCACCAUUAAGGUUAUUAUGGGAAAGGUUGAGCCCCUUUAGUAAGUUAAGCUUCCCAAUAACUUUUGGAAUCUCUCCUUCAAACUGAUUGUUUGAUAGAUCUAUGAUCAUCCACAUGGUGAAAAUUUUCACCAAUUCCCUAUCUUGUCCUUUCAUAACAAUUUCAAUGGAAUAGGUAUAAAAGUCACUACCUGUCGAAUCAUACACCCCCAUGUACGACAAUUUACUCCCAAUCUUCUCUAGAUUUAUGAUACCCUUGAAGCUGUUGAUGUAUCUCUCUGGUAGGGGUCCAGAAAAAUAAUUACUUGAGAGAUCAAAGAUUUGGAUUUUAGAGAAAAAAGGGCUAGACUUGGAGCUAUUGACACAUAAGGAACCAUGCAAAUGAUUUGACUUCAAUACAAGAACUUGCAAAUAUGGAAGACUUCCCAACCAAUGAGGAAAUGUAUCAUUGAUCUUGUUGUUACCAAGAUCUAGCACUUCCAGACCAUUACAAUUAAGGAUGGAUGGUGUCAAAGGCCCUUCUAACAGAUUUCCAUUUAAGUUGAAAUUACUCAAUUGGCAUCCCUCUGCAAAUGUUGGAGGAAUCGUCCCAUAGAACUUGUUCUUCUUCAGAUUCAAGAAUUUAAGGCUGUUGCUCAGAUUUCCAAAACAUUGCGGAAUUGUUCCACUCAAGUAAUUGUGGGACAAAUCAAGAAUUUGAAGAGCACUGGCAUUGCAUAUUAAAGAAGAGACCUCUCCAUUGAAACUAUUAUUUGAGAUCAGAAAGACAUUGAUCGUCGAUGCUGGAAUCGGAAGAUUUCCACUGAUCAAAUUGGAGCUUAAGUCAAGAAAUUCAAUAUUCUUCCAUGGAAAGUGCUCAACUUCUGUCAAAGAGUUGUGAGAUACGUUUAAGUAAGUCAAAGAGUCAUUCCCCACCUCUUGCAUCCACUGUGGAAUCUUGCCUUCAAUUUUGUUGCAAGAGAGGUCUAAGCUUUCCAAACUUUUAAGCCCUUUCAAAAAUUGGGGGAAUUCACUAAAAUUGCAAGAUGACAAAUGUAAGUCUGUAAGAUUAGGCAAUAUAUGAUUAACACUAGAAGUAGAAUUAGAUGUUAAGGAUAUGCGGAUAUAUGAAAGGUCAAGAUAUUCGAGAUUUGGAAGGCUUGAGAACAUGCGAAACUCUAUAACACCACUAAGAUUAUUUGAGGAUAAAACGAGGUGGGUAAGAUUGAGAACUUGGAAUAUUGAAGAUGGAAAAGGACCUUGGAGUUUAUUAUUGUUUAGAUAUAAAUGUUCUAGUGAUUUGGAUUGGAAUUCUUUGAUAUGCCCACUGAAUUGAUUUUGAGAGAGAAUUAUAACCUUUAAGGAGGGAGCAGUAUACAACCAUGACGGAAGUGUUCCAUUGAGUAAAUUGUCAGAUAAGCCUAAAUAUAUUAGAUUAGGAAAAGUGGUUACCUCAUCUGGAAUGGAUCCUUCUAAAGAAUUUUCAGAUAUUCCCAAGUAUUCCAGCUGGGUUAGGUUUAGAAUUGACAAUGGAAUUUGUCCACUCAAUUGGUUCCACGCCAACUCUAAAUAAGUGAGUUGCAAGAGGUUUCCCAGUGAUCUUGGAACCGUUCCUGAUAAGUUGGAAUUGGAGAGAUCUAAAAACUUCAAGGACACAAGAUUCCCCAUCGAAUCGGGCAAUCCUCCAAAAAUAUUUGCGCCUCUAAUAAUCAAGUACUCCAAAGAUGAUAAAUUUGUGAUUGAGACAGACAAUCCUUGAAAGAAAGAAUUUCCUGAUAGAUCUAAGUACUUUAAGGCCUGUAGAUUAUCAACUGAAUCAAUUAAUUCUGUAGAGAAGGACAUGGACGACAGAUCCAAAUGUUCAAGAUUGCUGCUCCGAUUGAACUUCAAGGGAUUAAGAUUGAGGUUUUGAUUGCCUCCCAAGUUGAGGAGAUUGAGGUUUGGGAAAUAAAAAAUGUUAUUUGGGAAUUUUCCUGGCAAAUCACAACCAGCAAGACUGAGAGACCUUAGAGAAGAGGAUAGAUUCAUGAAGACAUGAGCAUUAACAGAAGACAUGUCCAUUCCAUCCAAAAACAGAUGUCUGACCUCGGUUAGGUUGUGAACAAGUCCCUCCAGAGCAUGUUUGUCAAUUGUAAAUUGCUCAUACUUAUCAGUCCAAGAGGAGAGAUCGAGUGAAACCAAUUUUGGCAGGUGGGAGACUUGGGAUGGGACUUCUCCUACAAACCCUGUACGAGAAAGGUUGAGGUAGAAUAGGCUUGUAAACCGACCGAACUCGGAUGGCAUUUUGGAAAGAUUAAAAUGAUUGUAGGCAAGGUUGAGUUUUUGAAGGUGAGGAAGAAGGAAGAGAGUGGUAUUGGAAGGGAAGUUGCCAUAUAGCCAACUGCAACUCAAGUCAAGGGCAAUAACAUGAGCAUUUAGGUGGUCGCAAGUGACCCCAUCCCAUGAGCAGCAAUCUGUACCCUCCUUCCAUGAAUUUGUCUUGGGAUAAGAUUUAAGGCCAGUAAUAUAAUCGCAAGACAAAGAAGCAACCUUUUUUAUGGAAAAAGAGUCCUUAAACUGGAUUAGUGAAGAGCAGGAGUGAGAUUCUGAAGAAGAAAAAGAAGCAUAAAGAUGGGGAAAGAAGAGGAAUAGGCAGAGAAAGAGAUAGGGGGCCAUGUUAUGUUUGUAGAGGAAGAAGGAUAGGAAUGGUAUUUAUAGGCAACAAAUAAUACCACAACAUUGGUGUCUUUUACAUUGAAAAGCUAUGGAUAUUAGAUUUUCAAAGUUUUUGUAUUUUUCACAAUCAUCAGCAACCACUUGGUCUUGUUUUUACCAUACAUUUUUCGAUUUUUUUAUAGCAAAAUGUUGUAUAUCAUUUGAACUCCCUAAACAACUAAAAAAAUUAAGAUUGAGGAAGAAGACUGCUGGAAAUUUAAUCCAUCGAUUCUAUAAAAACGUGUAUACCUAUACAUAUAAUAAUCUCAUAAUUCAAAUCUAAAAUCUCAUUUGUUAUAAAUUAUGAUAAACUUAUUUGGGAAUAGCUAUUUUUCAUUAAUUAAAUUAUUUCUCUUUUAAUCAAGUAAAAAAUUAAAACUAAAAAGACAUUUAAAUAAUUUAAAUAUCAUUUAAAUUUACAAUCUGUGAUUUUAUAAUAGAAUAUGCAUUAAGGAUUUGCACACACACAGACAUGUUGUGAAGAUUGAGUGAAAUACUAGCUGUCCAAUUAAAUAUAAAAAAUGUCUUUGUUUUUCUGUUGGUAAUGAACAGGAGCCAAAUGUUGAAGUGGCUGGAACUUGUCUUGUAUUGCUUGCCUGCAGAUUUUGGUAUGUUUGAAAUGUAUGGAGAUGUGCCAAGUGGAACUAUUUUGGGGCUUAUCACUACCUCUGUGUCACACAACAGAACACAAAAUAAAAUAAUCAAAUCAGAUCUUUGAAUAUUGAAAUACCAAAAGUUAAAAGAGUACAUGCACUACAACCAAAAGUUUCGAUAUAUGAGGGUAGUGGGACAUGUAUGCUUGUGACCAAUUGGCUAGAAUUACAGGUCUGAAAUGUGGAGAACGUGUGGAUGUAAUUUUGCCCAUUUAUUACAAAUUGAUAAAACUGCAAUAUAAGUGCUUACUAUUUUAACUUUGUUACAAAUUAGUCCUUUUUUCUAAAAUUUAGGGAUUUAUAUAACUCAUUUUCAGAAAUUGACUCAAUUCUUUAAUAGUCAUUGUCGAAAACAUUAUAGAAUACCAAGCUUACGAAUUUGAAAGCAUUAUUGAAAACAAUUAUUAUUUUCAUAAAAUCAUUCAUCAAAUUUUUGUUUUCAAAUUUCAUACAUGAAAUUAACAAAUAAAGAUAGCUCUAAAUAGCAAAACCCAAUAUGUUUUAUCCAAAUUGAUAAAGAUGUUGAUGCAACAUUUUAGAUUGCGAAUUCCUUCAUCACAUUUGGAAUCCUAACCACAGGGACUUGCAAGCCUAUUACGAGUGCUAUGAUAAUCAAAUAAAAUUCAAUUCAAUUUUAAGUUCCAUAUAUAUAACACUUACAUGGCUACAAAAUGUGUGUGUGUGUGUAAGUGUCCUCAACCACAAACAAUCCAAAUUUGCACAGAAACCACCCAUUACAUAUAGGUUUGCCAAUGAGAUGGCAAGCAGACUGCUAGCUAGAAAUUCAUGCAUCUUUGAAUCACCAAUUCAAUUAAUAAGCUUAACUAAAGGAAAUAAGGACUUUACAUCCACCAAUUAAAGCAACCUAUAUGUACCCUUUUACAGUCUGCAUUGUUCCAUGUUUCAAUUCAUUACAUCAUUCCUUCAACUCUGCUAUAUAUUAUUACUUUCUCCAUAUAACCAAACCUUUUACUGCUAACUUGUAAAAAAAAUUAUGAAAAUACAACACAGAUCAUUGACACAUUUUGUUCUCCUUUCUCCUUUACUGAGCAGUAGCAAAGAUUAUCGAGACUAGAUUGAAAGUCAUGAAAGAAGACAUAAACAACAACACCAUACAAAAUGUUACACUCAAACAAACUAUUACAGAUAGUACGAAAUGCAAUGAAAGACAGAGGAAUUGGUACAAUAAUAAAGACAGACACGUAACAAUGCGACCCUUCACCAUAGGCAAAACGGUCUACAGAACAAGAAAUUAUGAAAAUACAACACUAAAUCUUGAACAUCGUUUGCAGUAAUUAGAUCCUUCUUCGUCUAUUGCUUCGAUUGCCUUUCUUUGCUUUUCUUCUUCGCCUCUUCUCUUGUUGGUUUUCAACCAAAUUCACCAACCAUUUCGGCUUACCAGUUUGGAAAACAACAUAUCCCACGGACAUUCCGAACACCACUCCGCAUCCAUAACCUAUCAACACCACUUUCCAACCAAAAGCAAUGUUUGAUUUUGAGCCAUCUUUUUCAAGCACAUUUGGAGGUGCUGGCUCAAUGAUGUUGCAACCUUUCGAGACCGGAAACCCACAUAGUCCCUUAUUCCCUUCAUAUGAAUCAUUUCCAAAUGUGUUGAAUUGUUUUCCUUGAGGAAUCUGACCAUGGAGUUGAUUUUCAGAAACAUUUAAGGACGAAAGAAAUGGCAGAUCUGCCAAUCUAUUUGGAAUCGUCCCAGACAACCUGUUUGAAGACAGGUCCAACCAUUCAAGAGUUGUCAAAUUCCCUAUUGAGGUGGGGAUACCACCAUUAAGGUUAUUAUGAGAAAGGUUGAGCCCUUUCAGUAAGUUAAGCUUCCCAAUAACCUUUGGAAUACCCCCUUCAAACUGAUUGUUUGAUAGAUCAAUGAUCAUCCACAUGGUAAAAAUUUUCACCAAUUCCAUAUAUUGUCCUUUCAUAACAAUUCCAAUGGAAUAGGUAUAGAAGCCACUACCUGUCGGAUCAUACACCCCCAUGUACGACAUUUUACUCCCAGCCUUCUCUAGAUUUAUGAUAGCCUUGAAGCUGUUGAUGUAUCUCACUGGUAGGGGUCCAGAAAAAUAAUUACUUGAGAGAUCAAAAAUUUGGAUUUUAGAGAAAAAAGGGCUAGACUUGGAGCUAUUGACACAUAAGGAACCAUGCAUAUGAUUUGACUUCAAUACAAGAACUUGUAGCUGUGGAAGACUUCCCAACCAAUGAGGAAAUGUAUCAUUGAUCUUGUUG
Molecule: long non-coding RNA, 14642 nt
Filed under: Gossypium barbadense (sea-island cotton)
Lineage: Eukaryota; Viridiplantae; Streptophyta; Magnoliopsida; Malvales; Malvaceae
Description: long non-coding RNA (GBAR_LNC016776)
Source: RNAcentral